This 225-nucleotide ribosomal RNA is filed under the name Salmonella enterica subsp. enterica serovar Hadar. Its description in RNAcentral is "partial 23S ribosomal RNA". It matches the Rfam family "Bacterial large subunit ribosomal RNA", at positions 1436 to 1663 of the family's 2925-position model. The record is from RNAcentral. Lineage: Bacteria; Pseudomonadati; Pseudomonadota; Gammaproteobacteria; Enterobacterales; Enterobacteriaceae.
UUCCCGUACUUGGUGUUACUGCGAAGGGGGGACGGAGAAGGCUAUGUUGGCCGGGCGACGGUUGUCCCGGUUUAAGCGUGUAGGCUGGUUUUCCAGGCAAAUCCGGAAAAUCAAGGCUGAGGCGUGACGACGAGGCACUACGGUGCUGAAGCAACAAAUGCCCUGCUUCCAGGAAAAGCCUCUAAGCAUCAGGUAACAUCAAAUCGUACCCCAAACCGACACAGG